GCGCACCCGCGGGGACCCCCGGCACCCCAGGGUGCUUCGGAGAGGGCCCAGCUAAAGCGGUCUUUAGACCCCCGGUGGUUUUCCCCCGCAUUUUGGGAGCUGCUAAGCUCCUGGCAGCUCCCGGCCAAGGCUUCGCUGCUCCGUGCAAAGUUGGGCUAUUUCCCCCCGCGGCUUUUCGCAGCAAAUCUCCUCUCUAAAAAGCAAAAAAAAUCCCUCUUUUCCCACUCGGCUGUUACCUUGCGGAGCGCAAAAACGGACUUUAGGCGUAUUUAACCCAGCCGUCUUCAUCUGUAAUUGCGGAUGAGGAGUAUUUAUUGCUUAGGUGGAUAAAUAGAGAAAUAAUUGUCUCUUUAUGGAGAGAAUGUGAAAUAAAGCAUCUGUCUCUCCCCCCGCGCACCCAGACACCCGGACGCACACAAAGGCGCUCAGAGCAGGCACGAGUUACACAUCUGCACGGCUCCCGGCUUUCCCGAGGGGUUUCCAAAGGGCCUUCCCAAAAGCGGCCUGCCCCCAAACUUUAAAGGAAUCAUCCCAAGAAAAUGAAAUCGCGCUGCCGGGUGGUUUUUUUUUUUCCUGCGUGGGAGAAAAGCGAAUAUUUGCCAAGAGGAGCCGCGCUCGCUGCCGCGAUUCCCGCGUGAGAACGUAAAAAUUGGGGCUGUUUUUUUUAUUUUCGCAAGAUGCGAACACGUCUGCCGUGGAGGAAAUUAAACAUCAUAAAGAAAAGCCCAAUUAAGGUUUAAUGUCUGAACAUUACCAUUUCCUCCAGAAAACAAUGAAGUUCGCUCGGCUGAAUUUUGCAACGGCCCCAGGAGCACGCUGCGAAGUCUCACUCGAAUUCACCAAACCUCGCUUUUUCACAUGCUUCAGCAGCUCCCUGAAAUGUAGCUGUGCCGAGAGAGGAAAAAAAAGUAAAUAAAUACAUUAAAGCACACACACGUUUACAUUCCCCCCGGCCUCGGCGCAGCUCAUCUCUUCCCGUGGGUCGGUAGGGAAGGACCCAAGUCCUCGACCGGGGCUGGUGAGAAAAAAUCCCGAAUAAAUGUGCAGCCUGAUUGGCUUUCGCAGGAGAAAAGUGUUAGUUAUACGGGUUAUGAUUAAGCCCAACUCUCCUUAACGCCUCCGCGGCAUCGCUCCCAUUUGAAUCCGACACCCGGUCGCACAUUUCUAUCCCAGACAGUCGCAGCGUUGACUGCGGUUGGGAAACAUAGUUUAUCUGCUUUUAUCUUGAUUAAGUCCACAUGAUUUUGAACUCGCAGCUCAAGCCUAGAGAGAUCUAAGUCGUUUUUUUCCCUUUGAAUUGUUCACAGCUUAUAUAGUUUUCUGUAGCAGCUUGGCUUGCAUCCAAUUAAAUUUAUCUUUGCCAUUUGGGGACAAUAAUAUUUCCCAAGCGCUUCCCACUUGUAGCUAUUGUCUCUCUCCAGAUUUCCUCUACCCAUACGCGGUGUCUAGUAAUCUGUUUACUGGCCUGGGUUUCCUCUCUUUCUCUCUCCCUCUCUCCCCUCCUUUUUUUUUUCUUCUUAGGAAGUAAUUGUAGUACUCGAAUGGAAGGGAGGGAAAAAUGAGUUUGAGAACAUCUGAUAGGCCAAAGUCAUUAGACAUCAGAAGUUUGAGCCUUUUUUUAGCAAAAAGCAAGUCACAUCUCUUCGCAGCUGCUGGGGAUGCGUCCGUGAAAGGAGUGAUUUUUGCCCUCACUGGCGUUUGCAGCCACGAGUGAGCACAGGUUAGCAAAGCAGGUUUGCAAAGGCUCCUUUUUUUCCCCAAAAAAGUGUGAGCCAAAGCAAACUUUGACCAACUGUCCGAAAUUGGGGAAGACGCAGGGUAAAAAUAAUGCACCAGCUAUCUUGAGACCACAGAAAGUAGCAAUGAGUAACAUGGUAAGUCAGGUUGGUAUAAAAUCUACUUCUCUUUUCUUCUUCCAGCCGAUAGUUUCCAUACUGUACGGGCAUGUCUCGGACAAAGGCUUCUUUAUGGCAUUACUUACAGAAAGUUUUUGACCAGAGUUGGGAGGUUACUAACGAAUUUACAUUGCAGUCAAAUAACUGUAGCUUUGGGGCGGGAGGGGGGAUCUUCUCUUCCCAAUGGGAAAAAAAAUUGGGCAUGAUUUAUUGAGAAGAGUUCAAGUACAGGAUUAACCUAAAUCAAAAUAUAACUUCAGAUGUUUACAUAGACCAGCUAAAGCCAACUUUCACAACUCCGAGGUUUUGAUUUCGGGACAAGCGCUGCAAUAUAUUCGGUCACGGAAUGACUCUUCGCAUAACCCUAAAAUCCAUGUUAGUAACCCAAAACACAUCUCACAAGCCUUGAGCUUUGUCCGUUUGCCUGCUGAAAACGCUGUUAAACGUGUUAAGUGUUUUCAUUAUAUCAGGCGAAGGAGUGCGCACCGCGAAGCAAGAGGCGAUGGGGUUGGUGAGGUGUUUUUUUUUUUAAUUAUUAUUUUUUUACUUGCACUUUGCUGUGUCUGGUGGAGGGAAUUUUGGUAGCCUGAAGUCCUUCCCAUGGAAAAGGCUCCGGCGGAGAUGCCAGCAUAAACCCACCACCUAGCUAGGUGGAUAUUUCGGUAUAUAAUUGCAAAGGAGAGGAGGGAAAGGCUCUGUGGUCUCCGCUGGCUUUUCCUUUAUUGCUGAAUUAACAAACUAGCGAAGUUUCUUGCAGUCGGGGCAAUUGCAUCUCAUGUGUACAGUCACAUCGGAGCAACUUCCCGGAGCAAAACAAGACCUUUCCCCCGUCUCAAGUUCGGCUGGCUUUUUUUUUUAAAGAGACUAAAUACAGGUUUUAUUUUAUAUGUUUUUUUUCCCACUCCACGCUCUAAGCUUUUCCAUUCGCCUCGCAUUCACGGCUAGGAAAUGAAGUAGGUUAAAAAUGAACCGGCUUCAAUGUUCUGGAUGCCUAUAAGGGAUAUGCCUUAAAGUCAUUUGACUUUUUUUUUAAGGGGAACCAAAAGGAAUGCGAGACGCCAGCCCUCAUUCGGUUUUAUGGUAGUCACUUUGGUGGUCAAAUUCAAGUGCUGUGACUCCACAGCUGUCUCUUCUGUGCUCCCUUGCAGGAAGCAGGCAAAUCCUCUCCUUUAAACUGGGUUUAAAACACAAAACGACCCCGGGGCUUGUUUCAGAUGCAUUUACCUACGAGGAGCAAUAAAUUAUUCAUGCACCUAGACGUCGGGUGCUAUGCCACACAUGUAUUUUUGUUUGCUCUUCGGGUUUUUUUUUUGGGGGGGGGGGGUUGCUUUGUUUUGUGUUUAAGGAGCAGCCCUGGUCCCGUUUGCUAGCGACGAGCUCGGUUCCUGCUCUGGAUGCAAAGCUUGAUGCCUGCAACCUUGCUAGGGAAUCUGCACUGAAAUGGCUCUGGAAAAAAAUAAAAUGUAUAUUUAACACCCUUUCUCGUUUUAAUCGGAGUUAGAAUAUUCCGCACGCAGGUUGCAAAGAGGAGGGAACUGGGGGGAAAAAAUAAUUGCGCUCAUAAACAAUAGCUUAACAUUAUUAGUUUGUAGUUAGUAUUAAUAUUGGUCCAUAAAAAGCCAAGUUAAAAGAUCGCUGACACUUUAAUUAAAAGUUUUGCCCAAAACGACGUCCAAGUCAUAAAACAGGGCAGACUACAAACCCAAGAAAUCCAUCUCGCCAGCCAGACUCCUUUUCUCUGUAUUCAUCAGCGAAACGGUGCCUUAGCGAGAAAAUCACGGUUCAUUUUGGCAUUACAGACAUAUUUAUAUGGGUGUAUGUAUUUAUCUCUGCGCACACGCACGCCCCGAUCCCUUAUAAAAAGAGCUUUAUGAGAGCGGCUCUCCUUAAACAGAAAACACAAAGCUAAAGGGGGGGGGGGAAGCCAUCCAUAAAUAAAAAUAAAUAAAAAUGAAGGCAUUGCUGCCUUCGGAGGAGGAAAAAGGCUCAAACUGAGGAAGAGCGCACAACCUUAGCAUGCGAAGCCGCCAUGUUUCCCGUCCAGGUUUCGGGAAUAAAUACUUGGAAAUCCGGGCAUCCUGCCUGAUAAGCACCACAGUUUUGAAAGACCUCCUGCAAUACCCACUGUAAUUUUGCUCUGUGAUCUCUAAAUCCUCUGCUCUCUGCUCUGCUGCAAGACACGGACUUGCCAGGCUGCUUUUUUUCUCAAUAAAAAUUAACUUUUUCUUUUCUUUUGCUGUGCAUUCCUUCAGAAUUGCAGGAUAUCUAUCUAUAUAUAUGUAUUAGUGCCUGUAACCUUCGUGCGGUUGCGUGAGGUGCAUUUUGCUCUGAUUUUCUGGCACCCUCGCCUAGGAAUUAAGCAAGCCCCGGGUUAAAACGGGGCGGCAAACAUAAGGUUGCACGAAAUGCAAGGGAAUCAAAUGCAAAAAUUUGAGCGAGGUUAAGGAAAAGGGACCUGUGCAGGGGUGCCCAGCUGCAGGAGGGACAACCCCGAGCAGGACUGGGAGCCUCUGAUGCUCCUUGCUGGUGAAUUGGUUAUUACUGGGCUGAGUUUGGGAGUUGCGUGCGGGGAGCGAGGCGAAACACCGCAGCUUUCCCUCGUCCCAACGAUAUGUCCAGGGUCGGGGCUUUGCCCUUUUUUUCUGCCUGCUGCUUGAUUUGCCUGCAGCUCGAUUUGACAAGAUAUUCCCGAUAAAAGCAUCGCACUCCCUGCCCGUGUGGGGGUCUUGCUGGAAGGACUCAGCCACCAAACUGAGCGGACUUCGGGUUUAGGUGUAGGCGAUGCAAUAUUUUUGUUUAUUCCUCCUUUCACCGGGCGUUGGGAAAGAGUUAAUUCAAGGGGAAAAGAAAAACUCGGGGCAUCCUGUAAAGAAAAGGGGGGAAAAGGGGUUGAGGGGGGGGGGUGCACUGCAUUAUUUUCAUGUCGAGCCGGAAAAAAGAGCCCCCUCGGUUGGAAAUGGAAAUGCUGCGAACCGUGUUUUCCACCUCAGCCGGGCGAUUUCUAAUCCAGGUGAAAAACCCGACGAGCCCCCGGUCGUGGCAAUGUCUCUCGGACAAUUUUGCUCCCCAAAGCGUUUUUCGGGUGAGCCCCCGGCUGAGCUGCCUCUCGGGAGCGCUGGCAGCCCCGAGGUG
Dromaius novaehollandiae (emu) is the source of this 5027-nucleotide long non-coding RNA. RefSeq lists it as uncharacterized. Lineage: Eukaryota; Metazoa; Chordata; Aves; Casuariiformes; Dromaiidae. The transcript is spliced from 3 exons. The record is from RefSeq and is a predicted model, not a curated record.